UACGGAGGGUGCGAGCGUUGUCCGGAAUCACUGGGCGUAAAGGGCGCGUAGGCGGCGCGGGCAGUCAACGGUGAAAGCUUGGGGCUCAACCCCGAGUCGGCCGUCGAUACUCCCGCGCUCGAGCACUGUAGAGGCAGGUGGAAUUCCGGGUGUAGCGGUGGAAUGCGUAGAGAUCCGGAAGAACACCGGUGGCGAAGGCGGCCUGCUGGGCAGUAGCUGACGCUGAGGAGCGAAAGCGUGGGGAGCGAACAGG
Molecule: ribosomal RNA, 253 nt
Filed under: uncultured bacterium
Lineage: Bacteria
Description: partial 16S ribosomal RNA
Rfam family: Bacterial small subunit ribosomal RNA
Source: RNAcentral